RNAcentral lists this ribosomal RNA (482 nucleotides) under uncultured bacterium. RNAcentral describes it as "partial 16S ribosomal RNA". It matches the Rfam family "Bacterial small subunit ribosomal RNA", at positions 30 to 507 of the family's 1533-position model. The record is from RNAcentral.
AUUGAACGCUGGCGGCAUGCUUUACACAUGCAAGUCGAACGGUAACAGGCCGCAAGGUGCUGACGAGUGGCGAACGGGUGAGUAAUGCAUCGGAACGUGCCCAGUCGUGGGGGAUAACUACUCGAAAGAGUAGCUAAUACCGCAUACGAUCUAUGGAUGAAAGCGGGGGACCGUAAGGCCUCGCGCGAUUGGAGCGGCCGAUGUCAGAUUAGGUAGGUGGUGGGGGAAAGGCUCACCAAGGCAACGAUCUGUAGCUGGUCUGAGAGGGCGACCAGCCACACUGGGACUGAGACACGGCCCAGACUCCUACGGGAGGCAGCAGUGGGGAAUUUUGGACAAUGGGCGCAAGCCUGAUCCAGCAAUGCCGCGUGCAGGAAGAAGGCCUUCGGGUUGUAAACUGCUUUUGUACGGAACGAAACGGCUCUGGUUAAUACCCGGGGCUAAUGACGGUACCGUAAGAAUAAGCACCGGCUAACUACGUG